Molecule: ribosomal RNA, 94 nt
Filed under: uncultured bacterium
Lineage: Bacteria
Description: partial 16S ribosomal RNA
Source: RNAcentral
UGGGAGUUGGUAUCGCUUGAAAAGGCAAAGCUAACCAUUGUGUUUUCGGAUACAGAGGAGGCAUGUCUUAAUGGCAAUACCGAUGACUGGGGUG